UACUUUUCUUUUUUUUUUUAAGCACUCAGCUGAAAUCUUAACCCUCGAAUGAAGAACCGACGACGAUCCAGGAUAAUCUUGGAUCUUUUGGAUUCUCCGAAUGGAGUCACUUUAUAGCCCCAAGCUCUGUGGGCCUGGGGCUCCAUUCCAUUCUCAUUUCGCGCUUCUCUCUCUCGACCCCUAGCCGCCUCCCGCCGCCCUCCUUGGUCGAAAAGGUCUCCUCCAAUCUCCAGGAUGACAGAACUACCUUUUGUGUCUAGAGAGCGGCUCAAUAAGCAUCAGCAAUACUUCCAGAGCAUUCACAAGCAUACUCACCUGAAAGGCCGUUAUGAUAAGAUAACCUCUGUUGCUAUCCCCCUUGCCUUAGCAGCCUCUACCACAUUUCUGCUUGCACGUGGCAUAUACAACAUGUCUCAUGGGAUAGGGAAGAAGGAAUGAGCUCUUUUCUUUGCUGCUUGCUGUCAAUAAAUCCAGUGUCUGACAUGGGAUAAAGGUUUUAUUUAUUUAUUUAUUUGUCUCUGGUAAUGGUAAUCACAAAGUGCAACUUUGUUUGGACAUGUUUAUUUCUAUUUUUCUAUCAAAACACAGACUGAGUGCUUUGAAUAAGAUUUAUGUUGGUGGGUUAUACUGCUGCUUUACAAACUUAAUUUACAGUGAGCUGAAAUUUAUGUUGGGCC
This is a long non-coding RNA of Elaeis guineensis (African oil palm), 677 nucleotides long. RefSeq lists it as uncharacterized. NCBI's taxonomy places the organism in Eukaryota, Viridiplantae, Streptophyta, Magnoliopsida, Arecales, Arecaceae. The record is from RefSeq and is a predicted model, not a curated record.